RNAcentral lists this ribosomal RNA (265 nucleotides) under uncultured archaeon. Its description in RNAcentral is "partial 16S ribosomal RNA". It matches the Rfam family "Archaeal small subunit ribosomal RNA", at positions 747 to 1009 of the family's 1478-position model. The record is from RNAcentral.
CACGCCCUAAACCGAAUGCGCGUUAGGUGUAUCGGUGACCACGAGUCACCGAGGUGCCGAAGGGAAACCGUGAAACGUGCCGCCUGGGAAGUACGGUCGCAAGGCUGAAACUUAAAGGAAUUGGCGGGGGAGGCACCACAACGGGUGGAGCUUGCGGUUUAAUUGGAUUCAACGCCGGAAAUCUUACCGGGACCGACAGCAACAUGAAGGCCAGGCUGAAGACUUUGCCGGAUUAGCUGAGAGGAGGUGCAUGGCGUAGUCGUGU